GUAGGUGAACCUGCGGAAGGAUCAUUAAUGAAUAAACUUGGUGGAUUGUCGCUGGCUCUCUAGGGAGCAUGUGCACGUCUGUCAUCUUUAUCUUUCCACCUGUGCACCUUUUGUAGACCUGGAGAAAAAACUGCUCUGAGGAAACUCAGGUUUGAGGAGUUGUAGGCUUUCGCGAGUCAGCUCUCCUUGAAGUAUCCAGGCCUAUGUUUUUUCACAUACACCAAUGAAAUGUAACAGAAUGUAAUCAAAU
RNAcentral lists this unclassified non-coding RNA (250 nucleotides) under plant metagenome. RNAcentral describes it as "partial contains small subunit ribosomal RNA, internal transcribed spacer 1, and 5.8S ribosomal RNA". The record is from RNAcentral.